This 484-nucleotide ribosomal RNA is filed under the name uncultured bacterium. RNAcentral describes it as "partial 16S ribosomal RNA". It matches the Rfam family "Bacterial small subunit ribosomal RNA", at positions 28 to 507 of the family's 1533-position model. The record is from RNAcentral.
AUUGAACGCUGGCGGCAUGCUUUACACAUGCAAGUCGAACGGCAGCGCGGGCUUCGGCCUGGCGGCGGGUGGCGAACGGGUGGAUAAUUCAUGGGAACGUCCCAAUUAGUGGGGGAUAGCCCGGCAAAGGCGGGAUAAAUACGCCAUACGCCCUGAGGUUGAAAGCGGGGAACCGAAAGACCUCCGGCUCUUGCGCGGGCCGAUGUGGGAUUAGCUAGUUGGUGGGGUAAAGGCUUACCAAGGCGACGAUCCGUAGCUGGUCUGAGAGGCCGACCAGCCACACUGGGACUGAGACACGGCCCAGACUCCUACGGGAGGCAGCAGUGGGGAAUUUUGGACAAUGGGGGCAAGCCUGAUCCAGCCAUGCCGCGUGAGGGAAGAAGGCCUUCGGGUUGUAAACCGCUUUUGUUCGGGAAGAAAUCCUCUGGGCUAAUACCCCGGGGGGAUGACGGUACCGGAAGAAUAAGCACCGGCUAACUACGUG